AGCGAACGCUGGCGGCAGGCUUAACACAUGCAAGUCGAACGGGCAUCUUCGGAUGUCAGUGGCAGACGGGUGAGUAACACGUGGGAACGUACCCUUCGGUUCGGAAUAACUCAGGGAAACUUGAGCUAAUACCGGAUACGCCCUUUUGGGGAAAGGUUUACUGCCGAAGGAUCGGCCCGCGUCUGAUUAGCUUGUUGGUGGGGUAACGGCCUACCAAGGCGACGAUCAGUAGCUGGUCUGAGAGGAUGAUCAGCCACACUGGGACUGAGACACGGCCCAGACUCCUACGGGAGGCAGCAGUGGGGAAUAUUGGACAAUGGGCGCAAGCCUGAUCCAGCCAUGCCGCGUGAGUGAUGAAGACCUUAGGGUUGUAAAGCUCUUUUGUCCGGGACGAUAAUGACGGUACCGGAAGAAUAAGCCCCGGCUAACUUCG
Molecule: ribosomal RNA, 433 nt
Filed under: uncultured bacterium
Lineage: Bacteria
Description: partial 16S ribosomal RNA
Rfam family: Bacterial small subunit ribosomal RNA
Source: RNAcentral